CUACGGGUUGCAGCAGUGGGGGAUAUUGCACAAUGGGCGAAAGCCUGAUGCAGCAACGCCGCGUGAAGGAAGACGGUUUUCGGAUUGUAAACUUCUAUCAGCAGGGAAGAAAAUGACUGUACCUGACUAAGAAGCCCCGGCUAACUACGUGCCAGCAGCCGCGGUAAUACGCAGGGGGCAAGCGUUAUCCGGAAUUACUGGGUGUAAAGGGUACGUAGGCGGCUGAUCAAGUCAGAUGUGAAAGCCCGGGGCUCAACCCCGGGACUGCAUUUGAAACUGGUUGGCUAGAGUGCAGGAGAGGAAAGUGGAAUUCCUAGUGUAGCGGUGAAAUGCGUAGAUAUUAGGAAGAACACCAGUGGCGAAGGCGGCUUUCUGGACUGUAACUGACGCUGAGGUACGAAAGCGUGGGGAGCGAACAGGAUUAGAUACCCUCGUAGUC
RNAcentral lists this ribosomal RNA (439 nucleotides) under uncultured bacterium. RNAcentral describes it as "partial 16S ribosomal RNA". It matches the Rfam family "Bacterial small subunit ribosomal RNA", at positions 339 to 795 of the family's 1533-position model. The record is from RNAcentral.